AUGAAGGGGCGGUUGGGAGCUCUGAAAGGUUCUACGACUGCUUGUGCAGAGAGCUCCUCUACACCCAAGAAUCCCAUUGUGGAAUUGAAAGACAGUGAUGAUGAUGCGUUUGACAAGAUUGCUGGCAUGAGAAGAGUCACUAAUAGCGCUGCUACCAAGAGUGUAUCUCCCCUUGCUGGAAUAGUGGCCCGUAGAGCUGGUGUUGCUAGGAAGGAUCGUAAUUUGAAUUCUGGCAAUGUUACAAGAACGAAGCGUGUACCGAGAGGUCCUAUAAAGUUUUGCUCCCCUGUGCAGCAACUUUUCCCUCAUAAAUUCCCUCACAUGGACAGGGCUCGCAAGUUGUACAAUCUAUUGCUUAGUGAUGAAGGACGUGAGAAGUAUGCCGAGGCUGCAUUCUCAAUGAUACCUUAG
RNAcentral lists this ribosomal RNA (411 nucleotides) under Triticum aestivum (bread wheat). Its description in RNAcentral is "partial small subunit ribosomal RNA". Lineage: Eukaryota; Viridiplantae; Streptophyta; Magnoliopsida; Poales; Poaceae. The record is from RNAcentral.